GACGAACGCUGGCGGCGUGCUUAACACAUGCAAGUCGAACGAUGAUGCGGUGCUUGCACCGUUGAUUAGUGGCGAACGGGUGAGUAACACGUGAGUAACCUGCCCUCUUCUUUGGGAUAACGGUCUGAAAGGGCUGCUAAUACUGAAUAUUCACAUGUCUUCGCAUGGGGGUGUGUGGAAAGAGAUGCUUUUGGGUGUUUUUGGUGGGGGAUGGGCUCGCGGCCUAUCAGCUUGUUGGUGGGGUAGUGGCCUACCAAGGCUUUGACGGGUAACCGGUCUGAGAGGGUGACCGGUCACAUUGGGACUGAGAUACGGCCCAGACUCCUACGGGAGGCAGCAGUGGGGAAUUUUGCACAAUGGACGCAAGUCUGAUGCAGCGACGCCGCGUGAGGGAUGUAGGCCUUCGGGUUGUGAACCUCUUUCGCUCAUGGUCAAGCCGCAGCUUUGGGUUGUGGUGAGGGUAGUGGGUAAAGAAGCGCCGGCUAACUACGUGCCAGCAGCCGCGGUAAUACGUAGGGCGCGAGCGUUGUCCGGAAUUAUUGGGGCGUAAAGGGCUUGUAGGCGGUUGGUCGCGUCUGCCGUGAAAUCCUCUGGCUUAACUGGGGGCGUGCGGUGGGUACGGGCUGGCUUGAGUGCGGUAGGGGAGACUGGAAUUCCUGGUGUAGCGGUGGAAUGCGCAGAUAUCAGGAGGAACACCGGUGGCGAAGGCGGGUCUCUGGGCCGUUACUGACGCUGAGGAGCGAAAGCGUGGGGAACGAACAGG
RNAcentral lists this ribosomal RNA (763 nucleotides) under uncultured Actinomyces sp. RNAcentral describes it as "bacterial SSU rRNA". It matches the Rfam family "Bacterial small subunit ribosomal RNA", at positions 28 to 776 of the family's 1533-position model. Lineage: Bacteria; Bacillati; Actinomycetota; Actinomycetes; Actinomycetales; Actinomycetaceae. The record is from RNAcentral.